Molecule: ribosomal RNA, 617 nt
Filed under: uncultured bacterium
Lineage: Bacteria
Description: bacterial SSU rRNA
Rfam family: Bacterial small subunit ribosomal RNA
Source: RNAcentral
GUGGGGUGACGGCCUACCAAGGCGACGACGGGUAGCCGGCCUGAGAGGGUGUCCGGCCACACUGGGACUGAGAUACGGCCCAGACUCCUACGGGAGGCAGCAGUGGGGAAUAUUGCACAAUGGGCGCAAGCCUGAUGCAGCGACGCCGCGUGGGGGAUGACGGCCUUCGGGUUGUAAACCUCUUUCACCAUCGACGAAGGUCCGGGUUUUUCUCGGAUUGACGGUAGGUGGAGAAGAAGCACCGGCCAACUACGUGCCAGCAGCCGCGGUAAUACGUAGGGUGCGAGCGUUGUCCGGAAUUACUGGGCGUAAAGAGCUCGUAGGUGGUUUGUCGCGUUGUUCGUGAAAUCUCACGGCUUAACUGUGAGCGUGCGGGCGAUACGGGCAGACUAGAGUACUGCAGGGGAGACUGGAAUUCCUGGUGUAGCGGUGGAAUGCGCAGAUAUCAGGAGGAACACCGGUGGCGAAGGCGGGUCUCUGGGCAGUAACUGACGCUGAGGAGCGAAAGCGUGGGGAGCGAACAGGAUUAGAUACCCUGGUAGUCCACGCCGUAAACGGUGGGUACUAGGUGUGGGUUUCCUUCCUUGGGAUCCGUGCCGUAGCUAACGCAUUAAGUA